UACGGAAGGCAGCAGUGGGGAAUAUUGCACAAUGGGCGCAAGCCUGAUGCAGCCAUGCCGCGUGUAUGAAAAAGGCCUUCGGGGUUGUAAAGUACUUUCAGUCGUGAGGAAGGUGUUAAGGUUAAUAACCUUAGCAAUUGACGUUAGCGACAGAAGAAGCACCGGCUAACUCCGUGCCAGCAGCCGCGGUAAUACGGAGGGUGCGAGCGUUAAUCGGAAUUACUGGGCGUAAAGGGCACGCAGGCGGUUAAUUAAGUUGGAUGUGAAAUCCCCGGGCUUAACCUGGGAAUGGCAUUCAAGACUGGUUAGCUAGAGUCUUGUAGAGGGGGUAGAAUUCCAUGUGUAGCGGUGAAAUGCGUAGAGAUGUGGAGGAAUACCGGUGGCGAAGGCGGCCCCUGGACAAAGACUGACGCUCAUGUGCGAAAGCGUGGGGAGCAAACAGGGAUUAGAUACC
Molecule: ribosomal RNA, 454 nt
Filed under: uncultured bacterium
Lineage: Bacteria
Description: bacterial SSU rRNA
Rfam family: Bacterial small subunit ribosomal RNA
Source: RNAcentral